RNAcentral lists this ribosomal RNA (466 nucleotides) under uncultured bacterium. Its description in RNAcentral is "bacterial SSU rRNA". It matches the Rfam family "Bacterial small subunit ribosomal RNA", at positions 329 to 793 of the family's 1533-position model. The record is from RNAcentral.
UGCCAGACUCCUACGGGAGGCAGCAGUGAGAAAUAUUGGUCAAUGGGCGAGAGCCUGAACCAGCCAAGUCGCGUGAGGGAGUACUGCCCUAUGGGUUGUAAACCUCUUUUGUCGGGGAGCAAAAGCCGGACGUGUCCGGCUGUGAGAGUACCCGAAGAAAAAGCAUCGGCUAACUCCGUGCCAGCAGCCGCGGUAAUACGGAGGAUGCAAGCGUUGUCCGGAAUCAUUGGGCGUAAAGAGUUCGUAGGCGGUAUGUUAAGUCUGGUGUUAAAUGCAGAAGCUCAACUUCUGUUCGGCACUGGAUACUGGCAAACUAGAAUGCGGUAGAGGUAAAGGGAAUUCCUGGUGUAGCGGUGAAAUGCUUAGAUAUCAGGAGGAACAUCGGUGGCGUAAGCGCUUUACUGGGCCGUAAUUGACGCUGAGGAACGAAAGCCAGGGUAGCAAAUGGGAUUAGAUACCCCAGUAA